GACUUCAUCUUCAUCCACCUGUGCACCUAUUGUAGUCUUUAGUUGGGUCUCGAGGAAGUGGUUCACCUAUCAGCAUUUGCUGGAUGUGAGGACUUGCACUGUGAAAGCACUGCUGUCCUUUACUUGACCAUGGAGUCGAUUUCUCACUGGAGUCUAUGUUCAUUCAUUAUACUCUGUUGAAUGUUAUUGAAUGUCUUUUACAUGGGCUUGUAUGCCUAUGAAAAUUGUAAUACAACUUUCAGCAACGGAUCUCUUGGCUCUCGCAUCGAUGAAGAACGCAGCGAAAUGCGAUAAGUAAUGUGAAUUGCAGAAUUCAGUGAAUCAUCGAAUCUUUGAACGCAUCUUGCGCUCCUUGGUAUUCCGAGGAGCAUGCCUGUUUGAGUGUCAUUAAAUUCUCAACUCUCUUGUACUUUUUUGUAAAGGAGAGCUUGGAUUGUGGAGGCUUGCUGGUCACUUAAUUGAGGUCAGCUCCUCUGAAAUGCAUUAGCGGAACCGUUUGCGAUCUGCCACAAGUGUGAUAAGUUAUCUGCACUGGUGAGGCAAUUGCUCUCUGUGUUGUUCAGCUUCUAACUGUCUCAGUCUGUCGAGACAACUUUUUGAAUGCUUGACCUCAAAUCAGGUAGGACUACCCGCUGA
Molecule: ribosomal RNA, 636 nt
Filed under: Agaricus bellanniae
Lineage: Eukaryota; Fungi; Basidiomycota; Agaricomycetes; Agaricales; Agaricaceae
Description: eukaryotic LSU rRNA
Rfam family: 5.8S ribosomal RNA (bases 234-387)
Source: RNAcentral